This is an RNA transcript of Cicer arietinum (chickpea), 1778 nucleotides long. RefSeq lists it as uncharacterized. The record is from RefSeq and is a predicted model, not a curated record. NCBI's taxonomy places the organism in Eukaryota, Viridiplantae, Streptophyta, Magnoliopsida, Fabales, Fabaceae.
AAAUAAAAAAGAAUAACCAUUGUUGUCUAAUGAUAUUUUGGGGUGGCAAAAGAACAUGAUAGAGUCGUGUGUAUAAUAAAUAACUCGGUUGAAGUCACACUGUGUUCAGUUGAGGUUGGGGGUGUAAAUAAUAAAUAAAUAAAUAAAAAGAGUAUGGCAGAAAUGAAAGGCGAGCAGAGAGUGGAUGUUGCGGAAGCGGUAGUUAUGGUUCCCGCCAAAGAGAAAGUAGUGCCUAACAACCCAAAGCGCGUUGCGUCGCUUGACAUCUUCCGAGGUCUCACUGUUGCGCUUAUGAUCUUGGUUGAUGAUGCUGGAGGACAAUGGCCAGUGAUUGCUCAUGCGCCAUGGAAUGGCUGCAAUCUUGCUGAUUUUGUCAUGCCUUUCUUUUUGUUCAUUGUUGGGAUGGCCAUUCCACUCUCUCUCAAGAAAAUACCAAAUAAACUUGUAGCUGUUAAAAGGGUGAUAGUUAGAACACUCAAACUCCUCUUCUGGGGUCUGCUCUUACAAGGUGGUUUCUCACAUGCACCUGACGAUCUAUCAUACGGAGUUGACAUGAAACACAUAAGGUGGUGUGGCAUUCUUCAGAGAAUUGCUCUGGCAUAUUUGGUUGUGGCACUGGUGGAGAUAUUUUCGAGAAGUAGACAAGAUAGAGAUCAGGAACACACUAACCUCUCAAUAUUUAAGUUGUACUAUUGGCAUUGGCUGGUAGGGGCGUGUAUACUUACUGUUUACAUGGCUUUACUUUAUGGGAUACAUGUUCCAGAUUGGCAAUUCACUGUCCAUAAUCCAGACAGCAUAUACAAUGGCACAACUUUCACCGUGACAUGUGGUGUCAGAGGGAAACUUGACCCUCCAUGUAAUGCUGUGGGAUAUAUUGACAGAGAGGUGCUUGGAAUUAAUCAUGUGUAUAAGAAACCAGCUUGGAGAAGAUCUGAAGCUUGCACUGUGAAACCCCCAUAUGAAGGGCAUUUUAAAAAAACUGCUCCUGCAUGGUGUUAUGCUCCUUUUGAACCAGAAGGAAUUUUAAGCUCAAUAUCUGCUAUUCUAUCCACGAUCAUCGGAUUGCAUUAUGGACAUGUACUUGUACACUUGCAGAAUCAUCCUUCUAGAUUAAAGCAAUGGCUUCUCCUAGGCGUAGCUCUCCUUACUUCAGGAUUUGUUCUUCAUUUCACACAUGCCAUUCCUUUGAAUAAACAGUUGUACACACUUAGCUAUAUUUGCGUAACGUCUGGUGCUGCAGCGUUAGUUUUUUCAGCCUUCUAUAUAAUGGUAUAUUUCUGAAUCUCUAAGGUUGAUAUUUGGGGAUUAAAAUUAUUGUUCAUACCUUUAAAAUGGAUUGGCAUGAAUGCUAUGCUUGUCUAUGUCAUGGCAGCUGAGGGAAUCUUUGCUGGAUUCAUUAAUGGGUGGUAUUAUGGUGACCCUCAUAAUACACUGACGUAUUGGAUCCAAGAGCAUGUCUUCAUUAGAGUUUGGCAUUCAACGAGAGUAGGCAUCCUACUGUAUGUGAUAUUCGCCGAGAUCCUAUUCUGGGCUGUCAUAGCAGGCAUUUUGCACCAAUUGGGCAUAUAUUGGAAGCUUUGAAUUAUAUAAAUAAGAACUUGCAUGGUCUUUUUAAUUUAUUUCCGUGUUUUUGCUGAAUGUUCAAUUUGAUUAAUAACCGGAGACAGCUUACCAAACAUAAUUGAUACUUGUUAGAUAUGUUAUUUGAUGUAUAAAAAAUGUAAUCAUGUGUUGGUUAAAACCUAAUCAUCCAAUUCCAGCAAUCCAAUUUGAACGUA